This 449-nucleotide ribosomal RNA is filed under the name uncultured bacterium. RNAcentral describes it as "partial 16S ribosomal RNA". It matches the Rfam family "Bacterial small subunit ribosomal RNA", at positions 29 to 523 of the family's 1533-position model. The record is from RNAcentral.
AACGAACGCUGGCGGCAGGCCUAACACAUGCAAGUCGAGCGAAGCCUUCGGCCUUAGCGGCGGACGGGUGAGUAACGCGUGGGAACGUGCCCUUUGGUACGGAAUAGCCCCGGGAAACUGGGAGUAAUACCGUAUGUGCCCUUCGGGGGAAAGAUUUAUCGCCAAAGGAUCGGCCCGCGUUGGAUUAGGUAGUUGGUGGGGUAAUGGCCUACCAAGCCGACGAUCCAUAGCUGGUUUGAGAGGAUGAUCAGCCACACUGGGACUGAGACACGGCCCAGACUCCUACGGGAGGCAGCAGUGGGGAAUCUUAGACAAUGGGGGAAACCCUGAUCUAGCCAUGCCGCGUGAUCGAUGAAGGCCUUAGGGUCGUAAAGAUCUUUCAGUGGGGAAGAUAAUGACUGUACCCACAGAAGAAGCCCCGGCUAACUCCGUGCCAGCAGCCGCAGUAA